CAUAAACAGUGUUGUCAUAUACCGUACGACAAUCAGGGACUGCGUCGCUGGGGAAAAAUAUGUGCUAAUUGCGCGGAUAGUUAAAAGAAAUAGCUUAUAUACCAAAAAAUAGUUAAAGUCGCGUCUGAAAUUAGAUAAUUACAAUCAAUAGUAUUUAUAAUGAACAUAUACAACAAAUUGCGUAGCAGAGAACAUGGACUGGCCAAUGAGCGUACUUAUGAUUUUGCGCUGAGUCGCCUGUGCGUGUCCAGGCAGGACAGCUGGCGUGGCAUUGCCCCAGCCAACUACAGUCCGGACUUCAACCCAGAGCCGCCCAUAUUCUCAGCCAAGUUCGCCAACUGCGAUGGCUACAGACACAUUUUGGCCAUUGCCAACGAGGAUGGCAAGAUUGCGCUACAGGAUACCACAGAGCGUAACCAGGAGCCGGAGGAGCAGUCGCUGAGUGCGCCACAGUGUCAUUUUAAUGCCGUUUUCGACCUAGAAUGGGCGCCAGGACAGAUGCGGUUUGUGUCGGCCUCCGGUGAUCACACGGCUCGUCUGUGGGAGGUCGCCGGCUCUGGGAUACGUGGUCUCAAUUCCUAUGUGGGCCACACACGUUCUGUGAAAACAGCCGCAUUUAAGCGCACGGAUCCGGCAGUGUUUGCGACAGGCGGACGCGAUGGUGCCAUCCUUAUCUGGGACAUUCGGGCUAACCUUAAUAUGGAUCUGACCUCACGCGUCGACAAUUGUAUUUACAGCGGCCACACCGGUGGUCCGGGCACGCCACAAUCUCAACGGAAACAGCGCACUCGCACGCCUAAAAUGGCAAACAACAGCAACACCUCCAGCAGCAUUACGGGCUUGGCCUUUCAAGACAACGAUACGCUCAUCUCAUGCGGCGCUGGCGACGGCGUCAUAAAAGUGUGGGAUCUGAGGCGAAAUUAUACCGCAUACAAAAAAGAGCCACUGCCGCGUCAGAGCUUACCCUAUGCGGGUCAAUCAACAUUUAAGGGCUUCACCAAUCUUAUUGUGGAUGCGGCGGGCACACGUUUGUAUGCCAAUUGCAUGGAUAACACCAUCUAUUGCUACAAUUUGGUUUCAUAUGCGCCUAAGCCGCUGGCCUGCUAUAAAGGCCUGCUCAACUCGACUUUCUACAUCAAAAGCUGCCUCAGUCCGGACGGCAAAUAUCUGCUGAGUGGGAGCAGUGAUGAGCGCGCUUAUAUAUGGAAUCUGGAACAUGCGGCUGAGCCGCUGGUUGCAUUGGCGGGCCACACUGUCGAGGUCACGUGCGUGGCAUGGGGCGCCACACAUGAUCGUCCGAUUGUCACGUGCAGCGAUGAUGCGCGCCACAAGAUCUGGCGUAUCGGGCCUGCGCCGGAGACAUUGACAGCCGCUGAGGUAGCGGAACAAUAUCGCGGCCAGGCGAGCUAUGUACGUCAAUUCGAUAGGCAGCAGCCAAACGCUGCAACACAACAUAAGUAUAAUCUCAGAGAUCUGGAGUCUACGCCGCGCUCUCUUAAGCGUCUCAUGGAGAUGAAUGAACGCACGCCAAGCUCUGUAGAAAAGACGACCAUCAAGCGUUCCUUUCUGGAGAUGCUAGGCGCGACAAGUAACGAUGCAAACAUGGAGCAGCCGCAUCAGAAGCGCACAAAGCCACUCGAGUCCAGGGGUCGACGCUUAUUUGGACCAAGCUGCACCAGCAGCCAGCAGCUACCAGCUAUUGGCGAGGAGGAAUGCACCAUGCCCGCCUGCAAUCAGGAGAAUGCUGCCGACGACAUCUCGCCGCUAACCUGCACAGCUGCAGCUGCUACUCGAUUGCAGCAGCCAUCGCCACUUAGUGAGCAUCAUAUAAAUCACAUUCCAUACACCUCGCCACCUACAACAUCAGCGCAAGCGGGGGCAGCAAACGCAAGCACCACUUCGCCAACCGCGCUCUCUUUAAUUUACUCGCCCACCUCGAACCUGCCCAACUAUGUGCUAGACGGCGAGGCGCCGCAUUUGGGCAUCAUGUCGCCCAAACGUAAAGCCAAAGAGAAGGUCGACUGGCUAACCAAAAUACGCAAACAGAAGCUCAUGUCAAACAGCCGGGCGACGCUUACGCUCGCUGAAAAGAUGAGCAUCGAGGAGACGCUCGAUGUAAUGGCCUCGCCCCGUCUACAAAGCCUGCGCAACUCCGAAUGCAGUCCCAGACUGCAGGCCACACCUAGGCGACGCAUUUCACACAACGAUACCGGCGCCCCACACUUACGCACGCCGACCUCCAGCCGGCGGAACAGUGAGACGACGCUCCUACGAUUCUUCAGCGUGCAACGCAGCAGCGGCAGUGGCAGUGAUGCCUCUGCUGCUGCUGAGGAUGAAACGCACGGCCUUGUGGAGCUGCCUGUCAUUUCGCCGCCGUCGCCAGCAACAUCUACGUUGACGCUGCGCACGCCAACGACUGUCGUCGGCAGCGACUGACACCCAGAAGACGGAUCUGGGAUCCACCCAUCCCAUAUAUAGUGUUAACUGGACAUACCUUAAGCUAUUUCUAUGCAUAUACAAUUGUUAUUGAUCAUUGCGAUUUUUUGGACGUCUUUGGUUGACCAUUUUGUAAAGUAGAUUGUUCCUGCCGCUGCUGUUGCUUUACCGUAGCGUUGAGCCUCAGGAUGCGGUAAACGUGGCGUCCCACACCCACAAGCAGAAUUAAAUGACACAAGUGAA
Non-coding RNA from Drosophila virilis, 2679 nucleotides. NCBI's taxonomy places the organism in Eukaryota, Metazoa, Arthropoda, Insecta, Diptera, Drosophilidae. The record is from RefSeq and is a predicted model, not a curated record.